AAAACUUGAGAAAACAUGAAAAUAUAGGGGUAUGAACUCACCUUAAGUGCUUUCAGUAUAUGAUUGUUGAAGAAUGGAAGUGUUUAAUUCAAGAACACUUGGAGAUGCCUUGAAGGUCUUCGAGAAUCUAACAUUAUAGUUAUGGAGUUUGUGUAAGCAAUCAAAGAUUUGAGUAGAAGGAAGUGAAAUAAUAAUAGGGAGGAUGAAUUUUUACUUACUAAGAGUGGAAGAACACUUGAAAUCAGCCUUGAAUCUCGAAAAUUUGUGUAGAAAAAGUUUGAGAGAAAAGUGGUGUUUGUUACUUAGUGGAAUGAGAGAAAUGAGAGAAAAUGAGGAGUGUGGUUGUUUGUUCCAGCUCAAAAAACGNAAAACGUGGGGAUGGCUUGUGAGAGGGGUAAAAAGUACAAGGAAGUGACAAGGUAUGGUGGGGAGGAGUGUGGGUUAGGCAUGGAGUGGGUAUGGGGUUGCUUGUGUCAUAAAAUAAAGUAAAGUCAACACUCUACCUUUGUACUUCACCUACUCUCUUUUGGAUAAGGUUUUAUCCUUAAAACGUGAUAAAUCAUUAAUUAAGGAGUCUUAUAUGUUAAAAUAAAGUUCUGGGUGAAAAUCCCGUGUUAAAACAAUUAAAAACGGGCCUAAAACGCAAAAUUAGUCGAAAACCGGGAGAGAAAGGACUUCCAGCGAGACCUCUCGGUCCUAGGCCGAGGUUCGGUCCCUAAUGAUGCCGAGCUGGAGGCGAGAUGGGCGAACCAGAAGUGUGAAGCGAAGGAAAAGGCUCGGUCCUAGUCUCAGAAGCGAAGGCUCAGUCAAAGGCAUCAGGAUCCGAAAUGGACCGAAGGUUCGGGUUCGGGUGUGUAGGCGAGGUUCGGGCCCGAGAGGACCUUUCGGGUUCGGUUUCAGCAGCCUUCGGCUCAGAAGGGUUCGGUUCCUAAGAGGGCUUUCGGUUCCUAAGAGGACUUUCGGUUCCUAAGAGGGGUUUCGGGUCCUAAGAGGGGUUUCGGCUCCUUAAGUCUGUUUUUCGCGUAGACUUCCGUUUUUGGGCUGUUUUCGCCAAAUUCGAGGGUCGGGAUGCCCCGAGUGAUUAUAGAAAGUUGAGAGAGAUUUUGAGAGAGAUUUGAGAGAGAUUCCACAUACUUAGAGAGAUUUGGGAGAGAUUUGACAUUCUUGGAGAGAUUUCUCAUACAAAGAGAUAUUUGGGAGAGAUUUCACAUACUUAGAGAGAUUUGGGAGAGAUUUGACAUUCUUGGAGAGAUUUCUCAUACAAAGAGAUAUUUGGGAGAGAUUUCACAUACUUAGAGAGAUUUGGGAGAGAUUUGACAUUCUUGGAGAGAUUUCUCAUACAAAGAGAUAUUUGGGCGAGAUUUCACAUACUUAGAGAGAUUUGGGAGAGAUUUCACAUUCUUGGAGAGAUUUUCAUACAAAGAGAUAUUUGGGAGAGAUUUGACAUUCUUGGAGAGAUUUCUCAUACAAAGAGAUAUUUGGGAGAGAUUUCACAUACUUAGAGAGAUUUGGGAGAGAUUUGACAUUCUUGGAGAGAUUUCUCAUACAAAGAGAUAUUUGGGAGAGAUUUCACAUACUUAGAGAGAUUUGGGAGAGAUUUGACAUUCUUGGAGAGAUUUGGACAAUAGAGAGAGAUAGAGUGAAAACGACUGAGAGUGGUUUCAUGUGUGACAAUAGUGAGUGUUUGGCUCCUCAACGCAUGGUCCAUGAACCCCGUUAAGCCAUGUUUUAGGAUCUUACACACUCCCGAUGAGUAUGCAACAUUGUUUUAUUGUUCUUGUUCAUUGUUUAGUAUUGAGGUUAAGAAAAAUUAAACACUCAAAUUUUUCCAAGUGAUGUUUUCUCAUUAAGAUAGUGAGUUAUACAGUAAUUACAUAACACAAACCCUAAUAUACAGGGUUUAAUUGAGUUGACCGGUUUGGCUCGUUGACUUUGUUGGGCUUAGACUUGACCCGAAUUUGACUAUUGUCACAUCAUCCCCCCGUUAGAGGGAAUUCCGUCCCGAAAUUUACGUUUUGGCCGGGACAUCAGGAGUUUGGGAAGAGUUGCGGGUAUUUUUGUUUCAUUUGGUCUUCGCGUUCCCAGGUGAACUCAGGUCCUCGUUUAGCGUUCCAUCGUACUUUCACGAUGGGAAUACGACUUUGUUUCAUUCUUUUGACCUCUCGAUCCAUAAUCUCAACUGGUUCUUCUACGAAGUGGAGAUUUUCGUUAACUUCGAUCUCGUCAAGAGGUAUUACAAGUGUCUCAUCAGACAGACACUUCUUUAAGUUGGAUACGUGAAAUGUGGGGUGUAUGUUAUUAAGUUCUUGAGGUAAUCGGAGUUUAUACGCCACAGGACCAAUCCUGGCAAGGAUCUCAAACGGUCCGAUGUACCUCGGGUUUAGUUUCCCACGUUUACCGAAACGUAUCAUUCCUUUCCAAGCGGAAACUUUUAGUAAUACCCGAUCUCCGACCUGAAAUUCUAAGGGUUUGCGUUGCUUGUCUGCGUAACUCUUUUGUCGAUCACGGGAAGCCUUCAUUCUUUCCUGAAUUUGAACAAUCUUUUCUUUGGUCUCCCUUAUGAUUUCAGGACCAGUAAGGGUGAUAUUAGGGACUUGCGCCCUAGCUAGCUGAGUAUCCCCCACUUCGGCCCAACACAGGGGUGAUCUGCACUUGCAACCGUAGAGAGCUUCGAAUGGAGCGACUUUAAUGCUGGUGUGAUAGCUGUUAUUGUAGGAGAAUUCAAUCAGCGGCAAAUGGGUAUCACAUGCUUUACCAAAGUCUAUCACACAGGCUCUCAACAUGUCUUCUAAUGUUUGUAUAGUGCGCUCGCUUUGCCCGUCGGUUUGUGGAUGGUAGGCCGUACUCAUGUCUAGUCUAGUUCCCAAGGAUUUCUACAGGGCUGCCAAAAUCGCGAAGUGAAUCUACUAUCUCGGUCGGAGAUAAUGGAUAUUGGUACACCAUGCAGUCGCACAAUCUCCUUGAUGUAUGUCCUGGUUAACUUCUCCAUCUUGUCGGUUUCCUUUAUUAGCAGGAAGUGCGCAGACUUGGUCAAUCUGUCUACGAUUACCCAUAUAGUGUCAAACCCGCCUGAAGUCUUAAGCAGCUUGGUUAUGAAGUCCAUGGUUAUCCGUUCCCACUUCCAUUCUGGUAUAUCAGGUUGUUGUAGUAGUCCUGAGGGUUUCUGGUAUUCCACCUUGACCUUGGCGCAAGUCAGACACUUGCCCACAUAAGUAGCAAUCUCGACUUUCAUAUUCGGCCACCAGUAUAACUUUUUGAGGUCUAGAUACAUCUUGUCUGACCCUGGAUGGAUGGAGUAUCGAGUCUUGUGUGCUUCAUUCAUGACCACGUCUCGGAUCCCACCGAACUUCGGUGUCCAGAUUCGGUUACUGAGAUAACGAGUUCCGUCAUCCUUGACUUCUAAGUUCUUAUCCAUUCCCCUUAAUGCCUCACCUGCGACAUUCUCUGGUUUCAAGGCUUCUAGUUGAGCUUCUCGGAUUUGUGUGGCCAGGUGGGAAUGGAUGGUCAUGGUUAAGGAUCUUACUCGGCGGCCCGAAUAUUCCUUCCUGCUUAGGGCAUCAGCCACUACAUUGGCCUUGCCCGGGUGGUAGCGAAUUUCGNAUUGAUGGUCAUUAUUAAGGAUCUUACUCGGCGGCCCGAGUAUUCCUUCCUACUUAGGGCAUCCGCCACUGCAUUGGCUUUGCCUGGGUGGUAGCGAAUUUCACACUCAUAGUCGUUCAGCAGUUCAACCCAUCUUCGUUGCCGCAUGUUGGGCUCUUUUUGAUUCAGGAUAUGCUGAAGACUUUUGUGAUCGGUGAAGAUGGUACAUUUUAUGCCGUAGAGGUAGUGCCUCUAGAUCUUUAAAGCGAACACUACCGCUCCCAGUUCAAGGUCAUGGGUAGUGUAAUUAACUUCGUGUGUCUUAAGUUGCCUUAACGCAUAGGCGAUGACUUUCCCACUCUGCAUGAGCACGCAUCCGAGGCCUUGAUUUGAAGCAUCGCAAUAUACCACGAAGUCAUCAGUUCCUUCCGGAAGAGACAAGAUUGGCGCGCUGCAUAGAGCUUGCUUUAGUGUCUGGAAGGCGGCUUCUUGUUUAUCUUCCCAUUUGAACAUCACGUCUUUCUGAGUCAGGGUGGUGAGGGGCUUAGCAAUCUUGGAGAAGUUCUGUAUAAAUCUUCGGUAGUAGCCCGCGAGUCCCAAAAAUUGUCGGAUUUCCGUUGGCAUUGUAGGUGCUGCCCAAUUUUCAAUCGCCUUGAUCUUUGAGGGAUCCACAUGUAUUCCUUUCUUGCUUACCACGUGGCCAAGGAAUCCCACUUCACGGAGCCAAAAUUCACACUUUGAAAACUUGGCGUAAAGCUUCUCGGAUCUUAGCGUCUCCAAUAUUAGUCUCAGGUGUCGCCUGUGUUCUUCUUCGUUUCUUGAAUAAACCAAGAUAUCAUCGAUGAAUACGAUCACAAAUUUAUCCAAGAAGGGUCGACACACUCGGUUCAUCAGAUCCAUGAACACCGCAGGCGCGUUUGUUAACCCGAAUGGCAUCACUACAAAUUCGUAGUGUCCAUAGCGAGUUCUGAAUGUCGUCUUGGGGAUAUCUUCUUCUUGAACUCGCAAUUGAUGGUAACCCGACCUCAAGUCAAUUUUUGAAAAGUAGUUCGGUCCCUGAAGUUGGUCAAAAAGGUCGUUGAUUCGGGGUAGGGGAUAUCGAUAUUUGAUGGUAAGUUUGUUUAACUCCCUAUAAUCACGCACAUGCAAAAGGAUCCAUCCUUCUUUUUCACAAAUAGAACUGGUGCUCCCCAGGGUGAAAAGCUCGGUUUGAUGAAUCCCUUGCUUAAUAGCUCGCUCAAUUGACUAGACAGUUCUUGCAUUUCUACCGGUGCAAGGCGAUAUGGUGCUUUGGCUACAGGGGUAGCACCGGGAACCAAGUCGAUUCGAAAUUCGACUUGUCGUGCGAGCGGUACACCUUGCAGAUCUUCUGGGAAUACGUCAGGGAAGUUGCACACUUUCGGAAUGUCUUUGAUGUCCUUUACCCCUUGAUUCUUAUCCACGACGUGAGCUAAGAAGACGUGGUAUUCCUUUCGGAGAUACUUUCGGGCUUUGACACAAGAGAUGAUUUGUAGGUUCGCACUAGGUUUGUUGCCAUAAACGGUGAGGGUGUUGCCAUUCGGCUGAUUGAGGCGGACGGCCCUNUUAACAUAAAGUCGGCACGAUUAGGACCCAACCAAUCCAUACCAAUGAUGACGUCGAAAAUUUUUAUUGUGACCAACAUUAGAUCGAUUUUGAACAAAUGGUUGUCUAGAGUGAGGGUACACCCUAUGUAAAUAUCCUUAGCGCACUCAACCUUUCCGUUUGCCAUUUCUACAACGUAUGAAUCUUUUAAUGACUGGGAAUUUUGCCUAAGUAAAUGUUUAAAUUGGUGACUUACGAAACUUCUUUCUGCCCCACUAUCGAAAAGUACGCAUGUAUAAGGGUUAUUUAGGAGGAACGUAUCGGUAACCACCGUGGGGUCCUUGACUGCCUCUCCGUGUCCCAUUGUCAAGACUCUCCCUACACCACCAGCAUUAGGAGCUCGUGCCUUGGGGCAGUUUCUCCUGAAGUGUCCUGCUUCACCACAUCCAUAGCAGGUUUGGCUUGCCCCCACAUUGGCAGCUUGGUGGUUCGGUCGUGCUAGCGCUUUACAGAAACGAGCAGUAUGCCAUUUCUUGUUGCAGUUUUUGCAAUGCAUUUCCUGACAAGCGCCAUUGUGGUGGUAGUUGCACUUGUUGCACUUGGGGAGAUUUCCAGCAUAUUGCUUCGGUGGUGCUGGAGUGGAUGGAGUAGUAGCAGCAUGAAUCGCGGCAGUUUGUUGUUUCUUGGAGGGCCCUGGUGUCGGUUGUUUCUUUUUGUUACUCCAGAACUUUCUUUUAUUGUUAUCUCCUUUUGUUUGACUGGGGGUGGCGAUCACGGUACCACGGCUGGCCCUGUGAUCGAUAAGUUGCUGUGCCAAUUCCUUGGCACUCUCAAAGGUAGUAGGUUUCGAAGCUAGUACACUAUCAUGAAUCUGGGAUGAUAGCCCCCAAAGGUAUCGUUCUACCUUUUUCUCCUCCAGAGUGACCAUUGCGGGACAGAGGAGUGCUAGGUCAUUGAAUUGGGCGGUAUAAGCUUCGAGAUCCGUCCCCGACAUCUUGAGGUUCCAGAAUUCUUCCUCCAGUUUCUGCACUUCGCCUCUUGGGCAAUAUUCCUUAGCAUUAAAGCUUUUAAAUCCUCCCAGCUUAUAGAGUUAGCCACUACAGGANCAGCUUAUAGUUAGCCACUACAGGAGUAAGGGACUUAACUCUGUCGUUCCACCAAGUUAGAGCUCUUCAAGUGAAAGUGAAUGCUGCAUACUUGACUUUUCUUGCUUCGGGGCAAGCACAAAUCUCGAAGACUGCUUCGGUUCUCUCGAACCAUUGCAUUAGUGCGAUGACGCCCCCGCUUCCAUUGAAAGAAUCAGGUUUGCCAUUUGUGAAGUCCUUGUAAGUGCAUUCCUUUAUGCGCCCCGAACUGUCACCCUGAUUAGAGGGUGUAGCACCAGAUCCGGAUCCACCAUUACCGUUAGGGCCGAUUUGUGACAUAUCUGCUGCCACAGCUGCCGUCACUGCAGCCUGGAACAUUGCUGGAUCAAAUUGUGGUGGCGGCGGCGGAGGAGGUGGUGCUGUGCUACCGGAAGGUCUUGGUCUUUUCCUUGGUGGCAUAGUUAUGUCAUAAUUAUAAAAUGACAAGUUGGUAAGACCUUAAUAGUAAUAACGAGUCGAGGGCUACUGGUUUCAUCUUAAUUAUAUUUUGUCCCAAGUUUAUUACUUUAGAAGGUAAUUCAUCAAAAAGUUCAUGCAAUUAAACUUAUGAAUUUAAUAGUGUUGACCCAAGUAGAGUCAUGUGUUUGUUUAUGUCAACAUUCUAGAAAGCAAAAUACAUGCCAAAUCCGUUGAUAACUUGUUAGUACAUAUUGUUUUGAGAAAGUUUGACCUCACAAGGGUCUACAUUACAUCAUAAUAAAGAUAAAGUUUCGGCAGUACAAAAGCCCCUUUAACUAGUGUGAUCACUUAGUUGCGAGGUCAGCCUAUUCGCAAUAAAGAGUAGCACCAACGCAUACUCGAAAUCCUAUAUUUUUAACAAAAUGUGAGCAGUGCGAACACUACUUGCAGCGGGUGGCAUCCGUUCCAUGGUGUCCCUGGGAUGAGGUUGAGGCUCCCUGAAGCUCCGCAAUCCGGCGUUCGGCCGCGAUCACCCUCUCCUCGAGAGCUGCGUGCCUUUCCUGGUACUCCCUUACCUCCGAUCGAGCAGCGGUAAGGUCCUCGAUGAGUUGGUCCACUGGAUAGAAGUCGCUCUUCUUCUUCUUCUUCAUCCACCUCCUCUUCUUCUUCUUUGGGUUCCUCUUCGGGAUCCUCUUCAAUCAGCUCUUCGGGCUCUUCCUCAAUCCAGCCGGCAUUUCCCAGGUUGGGAAAGUAUGGGUCUCCUGGUAAAUGGAAUCCUGCCAUNUGCGCGAGAAAGGGGUGUAAGAAGCAGAUAGCGGUUAAUAAUAAGAAUAUUGCGAUAUAGCAACAUACAAAUACUCCUAUAGUAUUUUAAAUGUUUAGAUUUGGUUCUUAGGGCAUUCUUUGUAGGGUGAGGUUAGGUUGUUAGAUUUGUUGCCCCCUACGACUAUCCCCCAAAUAUGAGUAAGUCACUUCUUGGACAAAUAUAGUUGAUUAGGAUAUAUGCUUCCCAGAACUGAUUACUCAUACCAAGGCAUACUCGUAGCGUUCAACUCCUCUUCUUUUAGUUUAUGUUCUUCUAGUUAUGACACUACGCGAGUAUGUAAUGCAUGUAGGUCUACUUUUAAACAAGAAACUAUUCAUUUUCUAAAAGUAUACCUCGAUAGAAUGUUUUAAAAUCAGAAACUCUUAGUCCCAAAUGUAUUUAUAGUUUGUAUAUCCUAUGUUGUUUGAUAUACUUAAUUCACUAUAAACCGUGCUCUGAUACCAAUCUGUCACACCCCCAAACCAAGGAUGGCGGAAACGUCUGGGGGGGAGGGACUUCAUGUAGAGUAUCACAACAACGAGUAUAAUAGUGCUCAAAGUAAAUACAACCANUAUAUAAUUGAAAAAGUUACAUCAUUGUAUGAAUUACAUGUUUCAAAAUCAAUUACAAUAUGUUGACAAAAUAUGAAAUGUUUGACGCCUUAACGUCCCAUCCUCAAAAUGCUCUUGAUUUCCUGUUUAGUGAUUUCCUAAGAAUACAAGUUGUUUUGAAAAAAUGUCAACACUAAGGUUGGUGAGUUCAUAAGAGAUUUAGAGAAGUAAACCAUUUUUCCUUGUAAAAGCGUUAGAAUAUGUAUUCAGAAAAUCCAAUAUUUUCUUUACAAAAGCUAUGUGGUCCUAAAUCCCAAGACCAAAAAUGAACAAGUAUUUUACAUACUUAAUGAUACAAUCAUGGUUUUAAAUCGGCAUUAAACCCUUUUUGAUUAUAAAAAUUCCCGUAAACUUUAUGAGUUGUUAACUUCCUGAGUGAGUCGCUAUAACCAUACUAUGACUGAAUGAACCUGCCACGACGUUUCUCAGGCGUCGCGAAACUGAUAUGACAUUUGUCACCAUAGACCUGCCGGUCUAGANUGCCGGUCUAGCUGUUGCAUGCAGCUCAGGUGUGGGGUGUCUAACCCAAUAUAGAUCUAUACACAACUAUCACGUUCUCCCUACAAGAGACUCUGGAUAUAGCUACCAGGAAUUUAAGUCCCGUACUCGGACGUACGGAAAGAGAAUGUCUCACAAUUUAAGUUAACAAGUUUACGUGUGGUGUGUGUGAAUGUAAAACCUUUUUGUAUGAAUGUACCCUUUUUGUAUGAGUGUGUUAUGUGAUGAAUCAUAAACUAUACCUAUUAUAGUUUAUCAAAACAAGGGCAAAAAUGGUAAUGUACAUGAACUAUACUUAACAUAGUUUAUUCAAAUGUUUGUAUGUAAUAGGUGGACUUUAAUUAUAACAAAUUGUUAUUUCUAUGCUUUGUCUAGAAAAAUCCAUUUGUUAACUGAUGUAUGUAUACAUACUAAGACAAUAUUGUCAUAUAUUGCAAUAACAUAUAAUCACAUAAAGAUAUACACCUUGCUCAACAUGUUACAAGGUGAAAUGAUAUUGAUAGCAUUUUUCUGUUAUUAAUAUUUUCAUUUGCUGCUCUUAGAAAAUUUAUAGAAAAAUCAUCAAAGGUCCAAAUCAGAAUCCGUAAAUUCUUAGAGUUGGAAAAUGAGUCUAGUUUAUUCAUAAUUUUUAUUAUGAGUUUUAAUGAACUCUAACUUGUGUGAACAAAUCCAUAUUCACAGACUAGUCCGGAUUGGUGUUUGAGAUGAUAGACAGUUUUGUAAAAAUCACCAUAAAUUGUAGAAAAAUCGUAUGGAGAUGUACAAGUAGUCAUUUUAAAGCUAAGAAAUGGAACUACUUACACCUAAAAGAGUUAUGUAAACAAAAAUGUUUAAGUUGUCCAAAACAGUCUGUGAAUGGAGUCCAGUUUUUCUGAUGAAGGCUGUUAGAAAAAUUUAGUUUUGUUCUUGGUGUUUUACUUGUAUUCUCCCCCUAAAAACUUAAGAAAACAUGAAAAUGUAGGGGGUAUGAACUCACCUUAAGUGAUUUCAGUAGAUGAUUGUUGAAGAAUGGAAGUGUUUAAUUCAAGAACACUUUGAGAUGCGUUGAAGAUUUUCGAGAAUCUAACAUCAUAGUUAUGGAGUUUGUGUAAGCAAUCAAUGAUUUGAGUAGAAUGAAGUGCAAUAAUCACAAGGAGGAUGAAUUAUACUUACCAAGAGUGGAAGAACACUUGAUGAUAAGCCUUGGGAUCUCAAAUUAGAGAGAAAAGUUUGAGGGAAAAGUUGGAGUUGGAUCUUUGGUGAAAUGAGAGUAAUUGAAAGAAAAUGAGGAGAGAGGAUGAGUGAC
RNAcentral lists this long non-coding RNA (9885 nucleotides) under Lactuca sativa (garden lettuce). RNAcentral describes it as "long non-coding RNA (LSAT_LNC004476)". The record is from RNAcentral. Lineage: Eukaryota; Viridiplantae; Streptophyta; Magnoliopsida; Asterales; Asteraceae.